GCUGGGUGCUCGAGUGGCGAACGGGUGAGUAACACGUGGGUGAUCUGCCCCUGACUUUGGGAUAAGCCUGGGAAACUGGGUCUAAUACCGGAUAUGACCUUCUGUUGCAUGGCAUUUGGUGGAAAGCCUUGUGCGGUUGGGGAUGGGCCCGCGGCCUAUCAGCUUGUUGGUGGGGUAAUGGCCUACCAAGGCGACGACGGGUAGCCGACCUGAGAGGGUGAUCGGCCACACUGGGACUGAGACACGGCCCAGACUCCUACGGGAGGCAGCAGUGGGGAAUAUUGCACAAUGGGCGCAAGCCUGAUGCAGCGACGCCGCGUGAGGGAUGACGGCCUUCGGGUUGUAAACCUCUUUCACCAGGGACGAAGCUUUUGUGACGGUACCUGGAGAAGAAGCACCGGCCAACUACGUGCCAGCAGCCGCGGUAAUACGUAGGGUGCGAGCGUUGUCCGGAAUUACUGGGCGUAAAGAGCUCGUAGGCGGUUUGUCGCGUCGUCUGUGAAAUUCUGCAGCUUAACUGCAGGCGUGCAGGCGAUACGGGCAGACUUGAGUACUACAGGGGAGACUGGAAUUCCUGGUGUAGCGGUGAAAUGCGCAGAUAUCAGGAGGAACACCGGUGGCGAAGGCGGGUCUCUGGGUAGUAACUGACGCUGAGGAGCGAAAGCGUGGGUAGCGAACAGGAUUAGAUACCCUGGUAGUCCACGCCGUAAACGGUGGGUACUAGGUGUGGGGCUCAUUUCACGAGUUCCGUGCCGUAGCUAACGCAUUAAGUACCCCGCCUGGGGAGUACGGCCGCAAGGCUAAAACUCAAAGGAAUUUGACGGGG
RNAcentral lists this ribosomal RNA (826 nucleotides) under Gordonia bronchialis. RNAcentral describes it as "bacterial SSU rRNA". It matches the Rfam family "Bacterial small subunit ribosomal RNA", at positions 82 to 918 of the family's 1533-position model. The record is from RNAcentral. Lineage: Bacteria; Bacillati; Actinomycetota; Actinomycetes; Mycobacteriales; Gordoniaceae.